This 253-nucleotide ribosomal RNA is filed under the name uncultured bacterium. Its description in RNAcentral is "partial 16S ribosomal RNA". It matches the Rfam family "Bacterial small subunit ribosomal RNA", at positions 524 to 776 of the family's 1533-position model. The record is from RNAcentral.
UACGUAGGGGGCAAGCGUUGUCCGGAUUUAUUGGGCGUAAAGAGCGUGUAGGCGGCCAGACAAGUCUGCUGUGAAAACUCGAGGCUCAACCUCGAGCUGUCGGUGGAAACUGUCUGGCUAGAGUCCGGAAGAGGAGAGUGGAAUUCCUGGUGUAGCGGUGAAAUGCGCAGAUAUCAGGAAGAACACCGAUGGCGAAGGCAGCUCUCUGGGACGGUACUGACGCUGAGACGCGAAAGCGUGGGGAGCGAACAGG